GACUCGUCACACUAUCAUUAACUGAAUCCAUAGGUUAAUGAGGCGAACCGGGGGAACUGAAACAUCUAAGUACCCCGAGGAAAAGAAAUCAACCGAGAUUCCCCCAGUAGCGGCGAGCGAACGGGGAGGAGCCCAGAGCCUGAAUCAGCAUGUGUGUUAGUGGAAGCGUCUGGAAAGGCGCGCGAUACAGGGUGACAGCCCCGUACACAAAAGCGCAUGUGCUGUGAGCUCGAUGAGUAGGGCGGGACACGUGGUAUCCUGUCUGAAUAUGGGGGGACCAUCCUCCAAGGCUAAAUACUCCUGACUGACCGAUAGUGAACCAGUACCGUGAGGGAAAGGCGAAAAGAACCCCGGCGAGGGGAGUGAAAAAGAACCUGAAACCGUGUACGUACAAGCAGUGGGAGCCCCACCACUAAGCCAGUGGUGAACUCCACAUACGCAUCCUUUGCUGAGGAUACGGUUAA
Molecule: ribosomal RNA, 464 nt
Filed under: Salmonella enterica subsp. enterica serovar Heidelberg
Lineage: Bacteria; Pseudomonadati; Pseudomonadota; Gammaproteobacteria; Enterobacterales; Enterobacteriaceae
Description: partial 23S ribosomal RNA
Rfam family: Bacterial large subunit ribosomal RNA
Source: RNAcentral